AUGGCGGACACUGCCACGUCAACUGGCGACGUGUGUGCCGUCCGCUCGAGUACGGCGGGCUCGGGGUCCAGGACCUGGAGCAUGCUGGCCUCGCGCUGCGCCUGCGCUGGAUGUGGUUCUCCCACACGGACGACGGCCGCGCGAACACGGACGACGGCCGCGCAUGGCGAGGCCUCGACCUCCAGUUUUCCCGCGAGGAGCGCGCGUUGUUCUUCGCAUCGACGACCAUGGAGCUUGGCGAUGGACUGA
This 249-nucleotide ribosomal RNA is filed under the name Triticum aestivum (bread wheat). RNAcentral describes it as "partial small subunit ribosomal RNA". The record is from RNAcentral. Lineage: Eukaryota; Viridiplantae; Streptophyta; Magnoliopsida; Poales; Poaceae.